RNAcentral lists this transfer RNA (72 nucleotides) under Trachelomonas grandis. RNAcentral describes it as "tRNA-Cys". It matches the Rfam family "tRNA". Rfam says of the family: Transfer RNA (tRNA) molecules are approximately 80 nucleotides in length. Their secondary structure includes four short double-helical elements and three loops (D, anti-codon, and T loops). Further hydrogen bonds mediate the characteristic L-shaped molecular structure. tRNAs have two regions of fundamental functional importance: the anti-codon, which is responsible for specific mRNA codon recognition, and the 3' end, to which the tRNAs corresponding amino acid is attached (by aminoacyl-tRNA synthetases). tRNAs cope with the degeneracy of the genetic code in two manners: having more than one tRNA (with a specific anti-codon) for a particular amino acid; and 'wobble' base-pairing, i.e. permitting non-standard base-pairing at the 3rd anti-codon position. Lineage: Eukaryota; Euglenozoa; Euglenophyceae; Euglenales; Euglenaceae. The record is from RNAcentral.
GGCGGUAUUGCCAAGCGGUAAGGCGAUAGAUUGCAAAUCUUUUAUUCCCCAGUUCGAUUCUGGGUGCCGUCU